CUGAGAUUUGGCUCCCAACACUGUGGCAUAUAGGAAGCCAAGGAUCCUUUAGCCAAGUUCCCAUCAGUCCUCAGGACAAUUAAAGUCUGUUUUCCUGAGCACAAAGCAAAGCUUUGGAGAUAUUUGCCGCCCGUACCCAGAUGAUCACACUCUUCUUCAUGUGACUUGUAGAGAGAUUUGGUGCAGAACAAGGAGCCUCACCACACCAUCUAAUUGGAACCACGAUGCAAAUACAUCACAUCAGGC
This 246-nucleotide long non-coding RNA is filed under the name Cricetulus griseus (Chinese hamster). Its description in RNAcentral is "lncRNA (ENSCGRG00000024322.1)". Lineage: Eukaryota; Metazoa; Chordata; Mammalia; Rodentia; Cricetidae. The record is from RNAcentral.